Molecule: non-coding RNA, 2023 nt
Organism: Sus scrofa (pig)
Lineage: Eukaryota; Metazoa; Chordata; Mammalia; Artiodactyla; Suidae
Source: RefSeq, a predicted model, not a curated record
CCAGAUCUGAGCUGCGUCUGCGACCUACACCGCAGCUCCCAGCAACGCUGGAUCCUUAACCCGCUGAGUGAGGCAAGGAUCGAACCCAUGUCCUCAUGGAUGCGAGUCGGGUUUGUUAACCACUGAGCCACGAUGGGAACUGCCGGUUUCUGGAAUCUCUUGAAAUGCCUAAGAACUGCUCCAGGAGUGACUCAUGUAAAACAGGCCCCUGCAGAAGCCAGGCUUUCCAGGUGGUGGCAGCUGCCACUCCACAGGAAGGCGCCUGGGCGAGGCUGCCACAGGAGGCACACGUGUCCGGUCUCUCCACAACUCAACACUCGAAAUGACACUCGAAAUACUCUUCAGCCCUUGUGAUGGGAGAACGAAUACGGGGACAGGGGGUGAAUCAGCCCCAGAGGGGGCUGCUCCUGACAGGGUGAGGACCCUGGCCAGCUUUGCCAGCCACACAGUGGGGGGCUGUCUGGACCAUCACCCAUGGCCAACAUUGUGACUUUGGGACAACAUGUUAAUUUGAAUGUGUUUGAAACCAAGAAUCAUGAGACAGACUGUAGAACCUCUUAGCAAUGUCCAAUUUGUGCUCGCCUGCCUAGACUUGGAAUCGAUCUGGUUUCCCUCAGGGAAAAAUACUCCACGUCUCAGCGUGUCUCAGGAGGGCCAUCCCAGGUAUUGUAGAGAUUUGUGUAGACAUGACUUUAAAACAAAGAUUGUGUCUUUCAUUUCAUGGAUCUACUUCCUCAAGUGCCUAACCGGGGCUUUGAAUGCAGUAGGUGUUUUUGUACUAGACUCUGGACUAGUGGAGGGGAAGAAAGGAUUUGCACCUCCCAAGGGUUCAGGUUACACUCCGAGAAAUCAAAUUUUGGAAAGGAUCUGGCACUGUAUUAAAACAACACCACUUUUGAGAAACUAUCACAUGGAAACGAAGCUCCUGUUCAUAAGGGUACACGUGAAAAAACAUUUGUUGCCAAGUUGCUUAGCAUGAUGAGACACUCAGAAUGACUUGAAAAAUCCAUCAGCUAGUUUACCGAAAUAUGGUUUAUCCACACAGUGAGACAUUUUACAGCUUUUAAAAAUAACUUGGAUUUACAUAGAAUAACCUGGAGAGAAGUCUGUAAUGCACUGUUCAAUGAAGAAAGCAAGCUGCUGAGCGAUGUAUAGUAUGAUUCCUCUUCUAUACGACAUUUAGAUGGUCCCUGACUUAUGGAGUUUCGAUUUACCUUUUGUUUUCUGACUUUGUGAUGGUGCAAAAGUGAUGUGCUUCAGUAGAAACCAUACUUCGAGUGUUGAAUUUUGGUCUUUUCCUGGUCGGGCGUAGGCAGUCAAAUACUCUCUCGUGAUGCUGGAUGGUGACCGCAUCGCCCACUCAGCCCCGCGAUCACCAAGAUGAGCAACCAGUACACCCAUUCUGUACCCAGACAACCCUUCUGUUUUUCACUUUUGGUAUGAUACCCAAUUCUUUCCAUGAGGCAAUCAACAUUUCGUUAUAAAAUAGGCUUUGUGUUAGACGAUCUUGCCCAAUCAUAGGUUAAUGUAAGCAUUCUGAGCACAUUUAAGGUAGGUCAGGUGUAUUAUGAUGUUUGGGAGGUUGGGUGUAUUAAAUACACUUUUGAAUUAUGAGAUUUUCCAUUUAGAAUGAGUUUAUCAGGAUGGAACCCCACUGUAAAUCAAGGAAAAUCUAUACGUACACCUGCAUGAGAAACAAAUGUUGGAUACUCAGUAAGACAUUAAUUGGCAUAUGCCCUCUCAGAUCUGUGAAUGACUGGCUAAUGGGGACCUGCUAUGGAGCACAGGGAGCUCUACCCAAUAUUCCGUGAUAAUUUAUGUGGGAAAAGAAUUUGAAAAAGAAUGGGCGUGUGUAUAUGUAUAACUGAACUGCUUUGUUGUACAGGAGAAAUUAUCACAACUUUAUAAAUCAACUCUGCUUCAAUAAAACUUCAAAAAAAGAAAGAAAAGUUAAAAGAAAAGCUAAAAAAAUUACCUCAGAGGAGUAAUGUUUUAAUUUUUUCAAAAUUUAGUGAAGUCCAUG